AUACGUAGGGAGCGAGCGUUGUCCGGAAUUACUGGGUGUAAAGGGAGCGUAGGCGGGAGUGCAAGUCAGAUGUGAAAUACAUGGGCUCAACCCAUGGGCUGCAUUUGAAACUGCAUUUCUUGAGUGAAGUAGAGGUAAGCGGAAUUCCUGGUGUAGCGGUGAAAUGCGUAGAUAUCAGGAGGAACACCGGUGGCGAAGGCGGCUUACUGGGCUUUUACUGACGCUGAGGCUCGAAAGCGUGGGGAGCAAACAGGAUUAGAUACCCUGGUAGUCCACGCUGUAAACGAUGAUUACUAGGUGUGGGGGGACUGACCCCUUCCGUGCCGCAGUUAACACAAUAAGUAAUCCACCUGGGGAGUACGGCCGCAAGGUUGAAACUUAAAUGAAUUGACGGGG
RNAcentral lists this ribosomal RNA (396 nucleotides) under uncultured bacterium. RNAcentral describes it as "partial 16S ribosomal RNA". It matches the Rfam family "Bacterial small subunit ribosomal RNA", at positions 523 to 918 of the family's 1533-position model. The record is from RNAcentral.